This 496-nucleotide ribosomal RNA is filed under the name uncultured bacterium. Its description in RNAcentral is "bacterial SSU rRNA". It matches the Rfam family "Bacterial small subunit ribosomal RNA", at positions 8 to 518 of the family's 1533-position model. The record is from RNAcentral.
AGAGUUUGAUUAUGGCUCAGGACGAACGCUGGCGGCAUGCCUAACACAUGCAAGUCGAACGGAGUAAUGACUUCGGUUAUUACUUAGUGGCGAACGGGUGAGUAACACGUGAAUAAUCUGCCCUGUACGAUGGGAUAACAGCUGGAAACGGCUGCUAAUACCGUAUAUGACCACGCCGAGGCAUCUCGGAGGGGUGAAAGCGCUUAAGCGGUACAGGAUGAGUUCGCGUCCAAUUAGCUAGUUGGUGAGGUAACGGCCCACCAAGGCGACGAUUGGUAGCCGACCUGAGAGGGUGAUCGGCCACACUGGAACUGAGACACGGUCCAGACUCCUACGGGAGGCAGCAGUGGGGAAUAUUGGGCAAUGGAGGAAACUCCUUACCCAGCAAUGCCGCGUGAGUGAUGAAGGUCUUCGGAUUGUAAAGCUCUUUGAUUGGGGACGAAUAAAUGACGGUACCCAAGGAACAAGCCCCGGCUAACUAUGUGCCAGCCGCCGC